GCUAGCGAGACCCCGUCUCUGCCGGGCGCGGUGGCGCGCGCCUGUAGUCCCAGCUACUCGGGAGGCUGAGGUGGGAGGAUCGCUAGUC
RNAcentral lists this unclassified non-coding RNA (88 nucleotides) under Homo sapiens (human). RNAcentral describes it as "7SL RNA, 88-MER from Homo sapiens (PDB 1E8S, chain C)". The record is from RNAcentral. Lineage: Eukaryota; Metazoa; Chordata; Mammalia; Primates; Hominidae.